UACGGAGGGUGCAAGCGUUAUCCGGAUUCACUGGGUUUAAAGGGUGCGUAGGUGGGUUGGUAAGUCAGUGGUGAAAUCCCCGAGCUUAACUUGGGAACUGCCAUUGAUACUAUCAGUCUUGAAUACCGUGGAGGUCGGCGGAAUAUGUCAUGUAGCGGUGAAAUGCUUAGAUAUGACAUAGAACACCGAUAGCGAAGGCAGCUUACUACAGGAUGAUUGACGCUGAGGCACGAAAGCGUGGGGAGCAAACAGG
RNAcentral lists this ribosomal RNA (253 nucleotides) under uncultured bacterium. Its description in RNAcentral is "partial 16S ribosomal RNA". It matches the Rfam family "Bacterial small subunit ribosomal RNA", at positions 524 to 776 of the family's 1533-position model. The record is from RNAcentral.